Molecule: transfer RNA, 73 nt
Organism: Camelus ferus (Wild Bactrian camel)
Lineage: Eukaryota; Metazoa; Chordata; Mammalia; Artiodactyla; Camelidae
Rfam family: tRNA
About the family: Transfer RNA (tRNA) molecules are approximately 80 nucleotides in length. Their secondary structure includes four short double-helical elements and three loops (D, anti-codon, and T loops).
Source: Rfam
GAGGGUAUAGCUCAAGUGAUAGAGUGCUUGCUUAGCAUGCAUGAGGUCCUGGGUUCUAUCUCCAGUAGCUCCU